UUAAAGUGUUUUGCCAAUAGAGCUUGAUGUGAACAGAGUUUUACAUGGCGCAAUAGAUACAGGGAUGCUGAGGGAAGGUGGUACAUGAUGAGCAUGUAGCCAGUUCCCAAGAAUUCCCUUUACCAGUCAGGGAUAAGUGAGUUUUGCCUCUAUAUUAAGUCACAUAAAGUUAUUUUUAUAUUCAAAUUUCUUUCACGGUGGAAAUCCCUGUUGUCUUCCUUAGGUGAUAGACAAACAGGUCUUUAAAAACCAGUCAAAGUGGAUUUCCUUAAUGGCCUUUGAAGCCAUCAUUAAGGAUGGCUCUCACAUCUCUUGGUUUGGGGUUUUUUGGAAGAGGAAAACAUUCAUUGGUAUCUGUUGUGGUGGGGAGUCAAGAAUUAGCUUUGAAUGUUGAUGAAGUCAGCAUUGUUACAGGUAUCUUCAUUAAGGUAUGCUGAGCCAGAGCCUAUUUGUUCUCUCAUCCAUAGGUUCCCUCUCUCUUUAUCAGCUGUUGUGGGGGACUUUGCUCAUGCUCAGUUCCUCAGGGUGGUGCUUAUGAGGCAGGCUCAUACCUUGGCAUAUCUGCUUGAUUCACUGGGCUUCUCUUUAUUUUCUUCUACUCUCCAGGUAAUCCUGAAUUUCCCACCAGGAAUGAGGGCAUGAUCUCCCUCACAUUCCUGCUGCGCGUUGUGGUUUGGGCAGGAAUGGUCUCUGUGUAUUCCUAUUGCUGGCAUUGGAUUAGUCAAGCUCUUAGGGAACACAGACAAGCUUCAGAAGAAAAAAACCUCAACCAUGUUUGAAGACCAUCUACAAAUAAGAAGGCCUCUAUACCAGCAGCAUCUUCCUCUGCCCUAAUGUACAGCAACCAGCUGAAGCAACAGAGGCUGAUUUCCAUAAGACCUCAUGGUCCCAUAUUCACAAAUGGUCUUUUUUUCACAAAUGCACCUUCACCACAUCCACAUGUUCACCGAGGACUGUGAUUGCCACAGUUGUCCAGCUCCAGGCCUUCAUGAGCAGCACGAGCAGCACCCUGGAUCUCCCAUCCUCUGGUGGUGCUUGGCUGAGGACAGCAGCUAUCACAAGGUGUGUGGCUGACUCAGCAGCACAGCCUUAAACCUGCUGAAUUGUCUCCAGCUGUGUGCUCUGCUUUCUGGAGAUGUCUAUAGGAUUCGUCCUCAGCAAGUGCUUUGUGUUUUGCAAUAUGCAUAGAUAGGCAAAUAUUUUUAUUCACAGAAUUAUGGAAUGGUUUGGGUUGGAAGAUCAUUUGACGAAAUAAAAAAAAGGACUAACAGUACUAAGAUACCUAACUCACCAAAUGCCAUAAAGAUCAUCUGAUGAAAUAAAAAAAGGACUAACAAUACUAAGAUGCCUACCUCACCAAAUGCCAUAAUUUUGUAGCUGCAACUUCUUUUGACUGAUUUUAGUUCUCAAUUUGUGUUACUAUACUAGUGACAAUAAAACAGUUCCUUAAGAACUGGC
Long non-coding RNA from Pseudopipra pipra, 1458 nucleotides. RefSeq lists it as uncharacterized. NCBI's taxonomy places the organism in Eukaryota, Metazoa, Chordata, Aves, Passeriformes, Pipridae. The transcript is spliced from 2 exons. The record is from RefSeq and is a predicted model, not a curated record.